CUGGCUCAGGAUGAACGCUGGCGGCGUGCCUAACACAUGCAAGUCGAACGAAGGUAUAUAUAGGAAGUCUUCGGAUGGAAUAUGUAUAACUUAGUGGCGGACGGGUGAGUAACGCGUAAGUAAUCAACCUGUGACACACGGAUAACUGAUAGAAAUGUCAGCUAAUACGAGAUGAACUGUUUAAAUUGGGAAAUGGAAACAGCAAAGCGAAAGCGGU
RNAcentral lists this ribosomal RNA (217 nucleotides) under [Eubacterium] yurii. Its description in RNAcentral is "16S rRNA. Bacterial SSU". It matches the Rfam family "Bacterial small subunit ribosomal RNA", at positions 19 to 219 of the family's 1533-position model. The record is from RNAcentral. Lineage: Bacteria; Bacillati; Bacillota; Clostridia; Peptostreptococcales; Filifactoraceae.